AUGUGGGGGUCGGAGACGCCGGCCGGCUCCGGCUCGCCGGACUGCCCUGACCUGCUGCAGCACGUCCAAGCGCUGCGCUCGCCGGCCACCCCGCUUUACCUCAGCUUCUUCGAGGAGGAGUGUCGCACCAUCGCCGCCCGCCUGCGCCUCGCGGCGGCCGCAGAGUCCUUGCCGGGCCUGGGGGAGCUCAGCGCGCUGCAGCCCGAGCUCGCCGGACCCACCACUUCCACUCCGCUGCCCAACGCGAGCCACGGGCGGGUCCCGGACUCGAGCGUGGGUGAUUGCGAGGCCGCUGCUGCCCCUGCCCCUGGCUUGAGGCCGGCCCCAAGGGAGCCCGGGUGCCUCCCGCAGCCGGCGGCCGGCGGUAGCCCCGGCGCCCGCCCCGCUCGCCCGCCCGCCCAGUCCCGGCGGGUGCGGCGCGGUGCCGGACAGCCCUCCGGCGGCGGCCCCGGCACCCCUGCUCGCACCCCUGCUCGCACCCCGGGCCGCGGCCGCUCCAGGCUCUCUCUCCCCCGCACACGGGCCUCGCUGGGGCUGCAGCUCCCCGCGGCCGGCACAGGGCGCGGCGCCUGGGAAACGCGGCUCCUCCGGCCCCCAGGGGCCAGGCUGAAGCUGACGUCGCCUGCCAGGUCCAGGCUUCAACAUGCCGGCGGGGCUUCGCAGCAGGCACAGCCUUCCAGCCUUCCCAAACCCGCCCCCCGGGACAGAGGGAUGAAAAAUAAUUCUGCACCUGCCAGUUGCCUCACGCGAAGCAGAGAAGCACCUGCUGUCAAGGCUGGGAAUCGUAAACAGCCCUCCUCAAGGCUCUCUACAGCAAUUCCUACCGUGGCUUCCCGCUCCUCGCUGCGGCCUCCGGGAAAAGUGCUUUCAUCCAAGCGUUUUUGCCUCAAAGGAUCAACUACACAGGAGCUGGUGUGCAAUACAACGCAAGAGCUGAAGGAAAAUGGUGAGAGCAAAGAAAAGCUGGUUGCAGCAAGGAAUGUCUUGGGAGCAGGUAAAACUGACCAGACAUGGGUGUGUGUGGAGUCCUCUUUGUCCAGUGAGUUGGGCCCUGGCCUGACUUCAGGGUGUGAAGAUGCAGUCCCUGCUGAGCAGUCUGCAGGUGAUCAGCUGUCCCAGGAACUGGAGCGUGUGAAGAAAGAGCUGGAGCAAGUGAAGGGUGAGCUUGCUGACAAGACUGCCCAGUGUGAAGCCUAUCAGCAGACAAUCUUCUCCUUGAAGGCUCAGCUCAGAGCAGCAGGAAUCUGUCUGAAAGAUGCAGCAGUGGUGACCUGGGGAGAGACUGACAGUUGGGACAUGGGGACAGACAAUUGUCCAGCUGUGUGAGCCUCUGGGCCAGUGUUAUAUGUGGAGCUCUUGAAUGAAUUAAUUUUCUAACUACUUGUAUAUAAAAUAAAGGUGUCUUUUGCAGUGGUGCUUCCUGUCUUCUUGGGUAGAGGCAGUGCCUAGUGCUGCCCACUGAUCCCCAGAGCACUGGGCAAACAGGCAGGUCUGUGCUUCGCUACAGCUGGUUUUGCUCAGCCAGAGAUUUGAGAUCUGUUACAAGGAGGAGCUGGGUGCUGGUGGAUGGAGGUACAGUGUGGCUCUGGGGAAGCAUUUCUGGACAAAACUGAUGCUUCCAGGUGGGGAUGCUUGGAUGUGUGGUGGUGGUGGGCAGCUGUAUGGGCAGGUUUCUUCCUUAGACCACCUUCAUGCUGGAUGUGGGAAAACCCAAUGCUGGCUGAUGGCACAUUAGGCUUCUACAGCCUUUGGCUAUUUAUUACUGGUUUAUUAUCAGUGACUGAGGGCAGGUGGUGGGAAGCAGUGCUUGGGGGCUCAGUCCAGUCCCUCACUGUUCCUGCAUGCCAGCGCUGGGACCCCUGCUCUGCUGCCUUCUCUCUGUGGUCGGCUGAUGCAGGCACCUUGUUGCACUGCCUUGUGUCUGGGUGAGACACUGGAGAGUCCUGCUGUCUGGUGCUGGCAGUGCCCUGGGGUUGCGCUGGUAAGGCCGGCCUGUUCCUGCUCCUGUUAUUUCUGGCUGGUGUUCCUGGCUGCCUUGGAAUGCACAUUCACAGGUAGCCCACAUCCCUUCCUGGGCGGGGCACGGGUGGCUGCACAGGCAGGGAAGCUGUGUCGGCUGUCUCCCACCCCUGCUUGGCAUUUAGUUGCUGGGGCAGCUCCAGUCACAAUCUGCAGCAGAGAGCCCUAAUGUGCUGUAUGUUCCCUGUACAUGCAUGGUGAAGAUAAUUUCUUGGUGCAGGUACUAAGGGAAUUGACUGGAAAAGGUGGCCUUGUAGAUUUAUUGUUUGUAAACAUCGAGGCACUUGUGGGUGAAGUUGGAUUCAGUGGUCCUUAUGGAUCCCUUCCAAACUGAAAUAUUCUAAUGCUUGAGUUAUGGAAGGUGAUGGGGGCAUCCAAGGACUGGUGUGGAUGUAUUUCUGCAGGGCUUCUGGCCCCCUUUAUGGGCUGGAGCCAUCUCCUACCCUCCUUUGCUGCUGGCUACGUGUGCCUUGCCACUGUUUGCCUUCCUGCUGCUCCUGUUGGGACAUGCACUUGGCUUCUUCCAUGCCUCUGCCUGCUCCCAGCCCUUGGCCUGUGCUGCUGGAUCAGGACCCUGAAUGAUGGGAGUGGAGAGCAGUAAGACUGGGAG
Molecule: long non-coding RNA, 2629 nt
Filed under: Cyanoderma ruficeps (rufous-capped babbler)
Lineage: Eukaryota; Metazoa; Chordata; Aves; Passeriformes; Timaliidae
Description: lncRNA (ENSCRFG00000008977.1)
Source: RNAcentral